CAGCCAUGCCGCGUGAGUGAUGAAGGCCUUAGGGUCGUAAAGCUUGCCUGUGAAGAUAAUGACGGUAGCAGGUAAAGAAACCCCGGCUAACUCCGUGCCAGCAGCCGCGGUAAUACGGAGGGGGUUAGCGUUGUUCGGAAUUACUGGGCGUAAAGCGCACGUAGGCGGACUGGAAAGUUGGGGGUGAAAUCCCGGGGCUCAACCCCGGAACUGCCUCCAAAACUAUCAGUCUAGAGUUCGAGAGAGGUGAGUGGAAUUCCGAGUGUAGAGGUGAAAUUCGUAGAUAUUCGGAGGAACACCAGUGGCGAAGGCGGCUCACUGGCUCGAUACUGACGCUGAGGUGCGAAAGUGUGGGGAGCAAACAGGAUUAGAUACCCUGGUAGUCCACACCGUAAACGAUGA
RNAcentral lists this ribosomal RNA (402 nucleotides) under Ruegeria sp. 1S3 30. RNAcentral describes it as "bacterial SSU rRNA". It matches the Rfam family "Bacterial small subunit ribosomal RNA", at positions 389 to 812 of the family's 1533-position model. The record is from RNAcentral. Lineage: Bacteria; Pseudomonadati; Pseudomonadota; Alphaproteobacteria; Rhodobacterales; Roseobacteraceae.